This 1179-nucleotide long non-coding RNA is filed under the name Ursus thibetanus thibetanus. RNAcentral's name for it is "lncRNA (ENSUTTG00000016563.1)". Lineage: Eukaryota; Metazoa; Chordata; Mammalia; Carnivora; Ursidae. The record is from RNAcentral.
AUGCUCGGGGAACUCCUACACAACCCCGAGCGCCUCCGCUUCCAGCCACUCUCGCCUCCCACCACCCCGGCUCUGGGACCAAACCCGGCCUCGCAGCCCAGCAGCAAGCGUCCGUCCUCCCGGCCGCAGCCCCUUCCCCCUCUCCGCUGGCCUCCCCACCCGCCACCUGGCUUCGCAGCGGCCGCUCGGGAAGCCCUCGGCACUUCCCAGAAUAGAGAGCAGCUGCCAACGUCAGGCUGCCGCCCGCCGCGGGGUUCCGGGCGCACGGGGUGCGGGCGGAGGGGACGUGACUCCACUCUGGCCUUCCGUCUCCCCCCACCGGGCCGGGAAACUGAGGCCCAAGGCCGGCAGCAACUUCCCCAGGGUGCACAGUCCGCGAGGGCCCGGCCAGUCCCGGGCCCCAGGCGUCCCGACUCCCGUCCGCGAUCCCUCGACCACACGCGCCGCCGGGUCGCCCCUGAGAGCCGGGCGGGGAGCGGGUCUCUAAGGGAGCGCUUCGCCCGGGACCGCGCAGGGCGCCAGACGCGGCCAACUCGCCGCGAAAGUUGCCUCCCAGCCUGCCCUCGCCUCUCACCUCUGAGACACACCUUCCCGCGGGCCCUGGCAGCCGCACUCUCACAUCCGGUCCACCUUGCGCACACCCCUCUCCACGCUCUCCCACGGCCCCUCUCCCUCCCACGCCUGCGGCUCGCGGCCGCUCCCCCGCGCCCCCUCGCGCACUCCCACCCGCGCCCGGGGCGCGCCUUCCCCGCCCCGCCGCACGCCUGGCCUCCGCGCCGCGCCCGCCCGGGCUUCUGGCGCCCGGGAGCCCCAGUCCCCGGCCGCGACCCGCUUCCGCCUGCCCGGCGGGAGGCAGAAGCCCGGGUAGCCGUGCGGGGGGCGAGGGGCUCGGCGGCGCGGGGCGGGGAGGGGGCGCUCGCUCGCUCACUCUCGGCUGCGCACACGCCCGUACAAACUCUCACACAGACACACGCGGGGUGCGCUGCCGCCGCCCGCCGCUGCUCCUCCUCCCGCCACCGCCUUGAGAGGGAGAGGGAGAGGGAGGCAGAGAGAGCGCUUUGUCCGCGCGCCGCCGCCCGGCCCGGGACUCUGCCCCGAGGAGGCAGCCGCGCCGAGUCCCCGCCUCCGCCUCUGCCCCCGGGCGGGCCGGGCCGGCCGCGGUGGGGGGAGCCAGGCUGA